UUUUAAUAAUUUCAUCCAUUUCUACUGUUAAAAAUUGGCAUGCCUGACAAAAUAACUAGUUAAUUACAUGUGGCAUGCCAUGUAUACCUCAUUUUGACAUACAAGGACUAGUUUUAACAAUAGAGAUGGGUAAAUUUUUUAUCA
RNAcentral lists this microRNA precursor (144 nucleotides) under Gossypium hirsutum (cotton). RNAcentral's name for it is "MIR7502 microRNA precursor family". It matches the Rfam family "MIR7502 microRNA precursor family". Lineage: Eukaryota; Viridiplantae; Streptophyta; Magnoliopsida; Malvales; Malvaceae. The record is from Rfam by way of RNAcentral.